This is a long non-coding RNA of Vespa velutina, 1231 nucleotides long. RefSeq lists it as uncharacterized. The record is from RefSeq and is a predicted model, not a curated record. The transcript has 4 exons. Lineage: Eukaryota; Metazoa; Arthropoda; Insecta; Hymenoptera; Vespidae.
GAGAAGAAUUAACGACACGAAAUACUUUUUCCUUUUCCUCGAGCAAAUAAAUGUCUUGAUUCAUUUAAUGUUAGCCUCGUUCAUUUAUUUAGUCCGAUAUUGAGGGGAAAUUGGGUCAAAUGGGGAGAUUAUGUUCGUUCACUCGGCGACACCGACGUAUGUCUCGAACGCACGAAUCACGAUCGAGUAGACGACAAAUAACAGCGAAAAGGGAGGUGUGGGAAGUGAACGCGAAAAAAAAAACGAAAGAAAAAAGAACGAAAGAAAGAAAGAAGGAAGGAAGGAAGGAAAGAAAAAGGUUCGUCGUGUUUUCGUUGGAGAAGUGGUAAAGAAACGUAAGGAAGACUUAAGGAGAGGACUACACAUAGUCUCUAUCACGGAGGGUGUGGGAGGGUAUCAUUCCUCCUUACACGAAGUUAGUACGAAGAGAUGACCCAACGUAGGUAAAGACUUUCGUCGAAGUAAACGGAUAGUAGUGGACUGCAUCAGGCUUCCACGUGUGCAUUGGAAGAAGUUGUAUCGUGGAUUCAUCGAAGAGGAAGAGAAAAAGGAGAUCGGAGGAUGCGAUUUUCGAGUCACGUUUAGAAAGAAGACGGUCAGCGGCCUUUCUUGGUUCAGGACUUCUCAAGAGUAACAAGCGUACAAUAGCACCCGGCUGAUGGCACUGGCGGUUAUGGAUGAACGGUAGCGAACGAGGAGCGACAGUCGGCAAGAAGCGAUGAGAGAAAAAGGAAGAUGAGAAGGAUGAGAAAGAGGAGGAGGAGGAGGAGGUGGUGGUGGUGGUGGUGCUGCAGGAGAUGAGGAAGAUGAAGAAAAGGGAGACGAAGGAGGCUGUGGUAAAUCGUUCGCCGAGCAGAAUCUCUUCGAGCGGCACGUUUCUCCGACGAACUUGGAGAUUCUCUCUUCUCUUUACGCCAUCGCAAGAAAUUUUCCCUAUCUUCUAUUUCCUCUCUCUCUCUCUCUCUCUCUCUCUCUCUCUUUCUCUCUCUCUUUCUCUCUCUCUGUCUGUCUGUCUGUCUGUCUUCCUUUUUGUCAACUUCGUGCAGAGAAUUCUUUACGAUAGGUAAAGAAAUUUCGUUGACACGAGAAACGUGGCCAAAAAUAUCAAGAAAAAUAAUAAAACUAUGAAAAUUCCGAUUUUUCUAUCUUUCUAUACAUACUUUAUACAUAACAGGAUGAAUAAGAGAUAGACAAAUAAAUGUAACGAACGAGAAAGAAAGAGAAAGAGAGA